Molecule: ribosomal RNA, 1027 nt
Filed under: Clavicipitaceae sp. NHJ 6709
Lineage: Eukaryota; Fungi; Ascomycota; Sordariomycetes; Hypocreales; Clavicipitaceae
Description: SSU rRNA
Rfam family: Eukaryotic small subunit ribosomal RNA
Source: RNAcentral
AGCAAUUAUACAGCGAAACUGCGAAUGGCUCAUUAUAUAAGUUAUCGUUUAUUUGAUAGUACCUUACUACUUGGAUAACCGUGGUAAUUCUAGAGCUAAUACAUGCUAAAAAUCCCGACUCCGGAAGGGAUGUAUUUAUUAGAUUAAAAACCAAUGCCCUCUGGGCUCCUUGGUGAUUCACAAUAACUUUUCGAAUCGCACGGCCUUGCGCCGGCGAUGGUUCAUUCAAAUUUCUUCCCUAUCAACUUUCGAUGUUUGGGUAUUGGCCAAACAUGGUCGCAACGGGUAACGGAGGGUUAGGGCUCGACCCCGGAGAAGGAGCCUGAGAAACGGCUACUACAUCCAAGGAAGGCAGCAGGCGCGCAAAUUACCCAAUCCCGAUUCGGGGAGGUAGUGACAAUAAAUACUGAUACAGGGCUCUUUUGGGUCUUGUAAUUGGAAUGAGUACAAUUUAAAUCCCUUAACGAGGAACAAUUGGAGGGCAAGUCUGGUGCCAGCAGCCGCGGUAAUUCCAGCUCCAAUAGCGUAUAUUAAAGUUGUUGUGGUUAAAAAGCUCGUAGUUGAACCUUGGGCCUGGCUGGCCGGUCCGCCUCACCGCGUGCACUGGUCCGGCCGGGCCUUUCCCUCUGUGGAACCCCAUGCCCUUCACUGGGUGUGGCGGGGAAACAGGACUUUUACUUUGAAAAAAUUAGAGUGCUCCAGGCAGGCCUAUGCUCGAAUACAUUAGCAUGGAAUAAUAAAAUAGGACGCGUGGUUCUAUUUUGUUGGUUUCUAGGACCGCCGUAAUGAUUAAUAGGGACAGUCGGGGGCAUCAGUAUUCAAUUGUCAGAGGUGAAAUUCUUGGAUUUAUUGAAGACUAACUACUGCGAAAGCAUUUGCCAAGGAUGUUUUCAUUAAUCAGGAACGAAAGUUAGGGGAUCGAAGACGAUCAGAUACCGUCGUAGUCUUAACCAUAAACUAUGCCGACUAGGGAUCGGACGAUGUUAUUUUUUGACGCGUUCGGCACCUUACGAGAAAUCAAAGUGCU